GACGAACGCUGGCGGCGUGCCUAAUACAUGCAAGUCGAACGCUGAAGGAGGAGCUUGCUUCUCUGGAUGAGUUGCGCACGGGUGAGUAACGCGUAGGUAACCUGCCUGGUAGCGGGGGAGAACAACUGGAAACGAUAGCUAAUACCGCAGAAGAGUAGAUGUUGCAUGACAUUUGCGUAAAAGGUGCAAUUGUAUCACUACCAGUUGGACCUGCGUUGUAUUAGCUAGUUGGUGGGGUAACGGCUCACCAAGGCGACGAUACAUAGCCGACCUGGGCGGGGGAUCGGCCACGCUGGGACUGGGACACGGCCCAGACUCCUACGGGAGGCGACGGUAGGGUAUCUUCGGCAAUGGACGGAAGUCUGGCCGAGCACCGCCGCGUGGGUUGAGGAAGUUCUCCGUUCGUGAAGCUAUGUUGUAAGGGAAGGAAGGGUGUGAGAGUGGAAAGUGCACUCUGUGACGUUACCUUAUCAGGAAGCAACGGCUAACUACGUG
RNAcentral lists this ribosomal RNA (495 nucleotides) under uncultured bacterium. Its description in RNAcentral is "partial 16S ribosomal RNA". It matches the Rfam family "Bacterial small subunit ribosomal RNA", at positions 28 to 507 of the family's 1533-position model. The record is from RNAcentral.